Molecule: ribosomal RNA, 487 nt
Filed under: uncultured bacterium
Lineage: Bacteria
Description: partial 16S ribosomal RNA
Rfam family: Bacterial small subunit ribosomal RNA
Source: RNAcentral
GACGAACGCUGGCGGCGUGCUUAACACAUGCAAGUCGAACGGGCUCUGUCUGGCUGUGUGCUGGGUGGGGUUAGUGGCGAACGGGUGAGUAAUACGUGAGUAACCUGCCCUCUUCUUUGGGAUAAGCCUUGGAAACGGGGUCUAAUACUGGAUAUUCCUGUCUGGUCGCAUGGCUGGGUGGGGAAAGUUUUUUUCGGUGGGGGAUGGGCUCGCGGCCUAUCAGCUUGUUGGUGGGGUGAUGGCCUACCAAGGCGUCGACGGGUAGCCGGCCUGAGAGGGUGACCGGCCACACUGGGACUGAGAUACGGCCCAGACGCCUACGGGAGGCAGCAGUGGGGGAUAUUGCACAAUGGGCGCAAGCCUGAUGCAGCGACGCCGCGUGGGGGAUGACGGCUUUCGGGUUGUAAACCUCUUUCGUCGGGGGACAAGGCUCUGCUGGGUGGUGGGGUUGAGGGUACCCGGUGAAGAAGCGCCGGCUAACUACGUG